This 490-nucleotide ribosomal RNA is filed under the name uncultured bacterium. RNAcentral's name for it is "partial 16S ribosomal RNA". It matches the Rfam family "Bacterial small subunit ribosomal RNA", at positions 30 to 507 of the family's 1533-position model. The record is from RNAcentral.
AUUGAACGCUGGCGGCAGGCCUAACACAUGCAAGUCGAACGGUAACAGGAAGCAGCUUGCUGCUUUGCUGACGAGUGGCGGACGGGUGAGUAAUGUCUGGGAAACUGCCCGAUGGAGGGGGAUAACUACUGGAAACGGUAGCUAAUACCGCAUAACGUCGCAAGACCAAAGAGGGGGACCUUAGGGCCUCUUGCCAUCGGAUGUGCCCAGAUGGGAUUAGCUAGUAGGUGGGGUAACGGCUCACCUAGGCGACGAUCCCUAGCUGGUCUGAGAGGAUGACCAGCCACACUGGAACUGAGACACGGCCCAGACUCCUACGGGAGGCAGCAGUGGGGAAUAUUGCACAAUGGGCGCAAGCCUGAUGCAGCCAUGCCGCGUGUAUGAAGAAGGCCUUCGGGUUGUAAAGUACUUUCAGCGGGGAGGAAGGGAGUAAAGUUAAUACCUUUGCUCAUUGACGUUACCCGCAGAAGAAGACCCGGCUAAAUCCGUG